UAAAAACAGUUGUAUUACGUUAUAUUUCGAUAAAUAUUUAUUAAUAUUUAAUAAACAACAACAUCAAAGCGUGAACACAGGCGAUAGCAAAGUUAUAAAAUUGUAAACCAUUUAUAAUUACAUAAGUACAAAAGCAAUUAACGGAAAAUAAUUUCUCAAUAAAUUAAACAGUUUGCUAUUGCAAUAACGAGUUUUAUGUGGGAUUUUAUUAUUGAGCGUUACAAUCAACAAAUAACUGGAGCAACGUACAGCGUCAGAGAAAGCGAGAAAGCUUUGCACAUACACAAAAUAACGUAUACUUGAAUUGUGUUUCAAUAUACUUUACCUGCAUACACCAUGAACCAUGAGUGUCGAGUAUUUCAAUUAUUUCAGGUGCCCAACAUUUAUUCCAGUGUACAUGAUAUUAGUAUGAAAGUUAUUUUAUGAUCGUGUUCAUUAUCGUCAGAGUGAAUCGACAAUGUAUAUUUUUUAGUCAAGAUUAAAAAAAAAUGUAUAUAUGUGUUACAUAUUAUCUCUAGCGCAAUAAUUAAUAUUAAAAAAUGUAUGUGUUAUUAUAAAUGAUCGUGAGUAAAAAUUACAGAAAUUUACGGUGGUAAAGUACUAAUUGUACAUAAUAUGUAUGAUUCCACAUAGAAAUAAUUCAUGACGAAUCAAUUUAUAGCGGUUGAAUUAAUAAUAUAAUAAUACAACGCUGAAUACACAAGAUAACAAUUUGUAUGUAUAAUCUAUCCAUAAACUAUUCAAUGCAGCUGAAUUUAUUCACUUAUAAAAUCUAAAUUUAUUGUACUGUACAUUUCAAAUGUAAGAUGUAAUAAAAUUUCGCUGUUUCAAUUU
Long non-coding RNA from Cotesia glomerata, 834 nucleotides. RefSeq lists it as uncharacterized. The record is from RefSeq and is a predicted model, not a curated record. NCBI's taxonomy places the organism in Eukaryota, Metazoa, Arthropoda, Insecta, Hymenoptera, Braconidae. The transcript has 2 exons.